RNAcentral lists this long non-coding RNA (219 nucleotides) under Manihot esculenta (cassava). RNAcentral's name for it is "long non-coding RNA (MESC_LNC002501)". The record is from RNAcentral. Lineage: Eukaryota; Viridiplantae; Streptophyta; Magnoliopsida; Malpighiales; Euphorbiaceae.
UAAAACAAGAAGUCUCCCAGCUUGUAAAAGGGAAAGGAACUCUUGCCCCAAGCACAUCUCAUGGAUCUGAGGCACAUUUCAUGGACUUUGCAGGUAAGUCUACUGUCUAUAACACUUGCAAUGCACAUAUGCAAAAUGUAUCUAAUUGGAUCCUAGACACUGGAGCCACAAAUCACAUGUGUUCAGACAGCAAUCUGUUCACCACCUUACAUCCACUAC